RNAcentral lists this ribosomal RNA (244 nucleotides) under uncultured anaerobic ammonium-oxidizing bacterium. RNAcentral describes it as "partial 16S ribosomal RNA". It matches the Rfam family "Bacterial small subunit ribosomal RNA", at positions 439 to 674 of the family's 1533-position model. The record is from RNAcentral.
GGAGUUAGGAAAUGUAAGUGCGAUAAUACCGUGCUUAUUUGACAAAGGCUCCAAAGGAAGCCACGGCUAACUCUGUGCCAGCAGCCGCGGUAAUACAGAGGUGGCAAGCGUUGUUCGGAAUUACUGGGCGUAAAGAGCACGUAGGUGGAUUUGUAAGUCAGGUGUGAAAGCCUUCUGUUCAACGGAAGAAUUGCAUCUGAAACUACAAACCUUGAGUGUAGGAGGGGAGAGUGGAACUUCUGGU